CCUACGGUGGUCAGCAGUGGGGGAUAUUGCACAAUGGGGGAAACCCUGAUGCAGCGACGCCGCGUGGGCGAAUAAGUAUUUCGGUAUGUAAAGCCCUAUCAGCAGGGAAGAAGAAAUGACGGUACCUGAGUAAGAAGCACCUGCUAAAUACGUGCCAGCAGCCGCGGUAAUACGUAUGGUGCAAGCGUUAUCCGGAUUUACUGGGUGUAAAGGGAGCGCAGGCGGCACGGCAAGCCUGAUGUGAAAGCCCGCGGCCCAACCGCGGGACUGCAUUGGGAACUACCGGGCUGGAGUGACGGAGAGGUAGGAGGAAUUCCGAGUGGAGCGGUGAAAUGCAUAGAUAGCACGCAGAACUCCGAUUGCGAAGGCAGCAUACCGGCGCCCGACUGACGCUGAAGCACGAAAGCGUGGGUAUCGAACAGGAUUAGAUACCCCUGUAGUC
RNAcentral lists this ribosomal RNA (442 nucleotides) under uncultured bacterium. RNAcentral's name for it is "partial 16S ribosomal RNA". It matches the Rfam family "Bacterial small subunit ribosomal RNA", at positions 338 to 795 of the family's 1533-position model. The record is from RNAcentral.